Molecule: unclassified non-coding RNA, 240 nt
Filed under: soil metagenome
Description: partial contains 5.8S ribosomal RNA, internal transcribed spacer 2, and large subunit ribosomal RNA
Source: RNAcentral
AAGACUAUAGACCUGCGGAGUACCUGCGGAGGGAUCAUUACAGGACUCGCAAGACUCCUACAACCCUGUGAACUUAACUAUAAGCACGUUGCUUCGGCGGGUGUCUCGGCGAGGGUUCUCCCUCCCCGGGGCGCUAAGCCCGCCGGCAGCCUACUAUACUCUGUCUCUUUGCGUUGGCAUCUCGAGUACAAACAAACAAGUUAAAACUUUCAACAAUGGAUCUCUAGAUCGGAAGAGCAC